UGGCUCAGAUUGAACGCUGGCGGUAGGCUUAACACAUGCAAGUCGUGCGAGAAAGUAUCUUCGGAUAUGAGUAGAGCGGCGGACGGGUGAGUAACGCGUAGGAAUCUACCUAGUAGAAGGGGAUAGCCCGGGGAAACCCGGAUUAAUACCGUAUACCUCCUUCGGGAGAAAGAAGGCCUCUCUUUGAAGCUUUCGCUACUAGAUGAGCCUGCGUAAGAUUAGCUUGUUGGUGAGGUAAAGGCUCACCAAGGCGACGAUCUUUAGCUGGUCUGAGAGGACGAUCAGCCACAUUGGGACUGAGACACGGCCCAGACUCCUACGGGAGGCAGCAGUGGGGAAUAUUGGACAAUGGGCGCAAGCCUGAUCCAGCCAUACCGCGUGUGUGAAGAAGGCCUUCGGGUUGUAAAGCACUUUAAGCAGGGAGAAAAAGUUAUAAGUUAAUACCUUAUAACCCUGAUGUUACCUGCAGAAUAAGCACCGGCUAAUUCCGUGCCAGCAGCCGCGGUAAUACGAAGGGACCUAGCGUAGUUCGGAUUUACUGGGCUUAAAGAGUUCGUAGGUGGUUGAAAAAGUUGAUGGUGAAAUCCCAGAGCUUAACUCUGGAACUGCCAUCAAAACUUUUCAGCUAGAGUAUGAUAGAGGAAAGCAGAAUUUCUAGUGUAGAGGUGAAAUUCGUAGAUAUUAGAAAGAAUACCAAUUGCGAAGGCAGCUUUCUGGAUCAUUACUGACACUGAGGAACGAAAGCAUGGGUAGCGAAGAGGAUUAGAUACCCUCGUAGUCCAUGCCGUAAACGAUGUGUGUUAGACGUUGGAAAUUUAUUUUCAGUGUCGCAGCGAAAGCGAUAAACACACCGCCUGGGGAGUACGACCGCAAGGUUAAAACUCAAAUGAAUUGACGGGGACCCGCACAAGUAGUGGAGCAUGUGGUUUAAUUCGAAGAUACGCGCAGAACCUUACCAACACUUGACAUGUUCGUCGCGACUCUAAGAGAUUAGAGUUUUCGGUUCGGCCGGACGAAACACAGGUGCUGCAUGGCUGUCGUCAGCUCGUGUCGUGAGAUGUUGGGUUAAGUCCCGCAACGAGCGCAACCCUCACUUUUAGUUGCCAUCAUUAAGUUGGGCACUCUGAAAGAACUGCCAGUGAUAAGCUGGAGGAAGGUGGGGAUGACGUCAAGUCCUCAUGGCCCUUACGUGUUGGGCUACACACGUGCUACAAUGG
This 1217-nucleotide ribosomal RNA is filed under the name uncultured Pelagibacterales bacterium. RNAcentral's name for it is "partial 16S ribosomal RNA". It matches the Rfam family "Bacterial small subunit ribosomal RNA", at positions 20 to 1233 of the family's 1533-position model. Lineage: Bacteria; Pseudomonadati; Pseudomonadota; Alphaproteobacteria; Candidatus Pelagibacterales. The record is from RNAcentral.